UACGUAGGGUGCAAGCGUUGUCCGGAAUUAUUGGGCGUAAAGAGCUCGUAGGCGGCUUGUCGCGUCGGCUGUGAAAACUCGGGGCUUAACCUCGGGCCUGCAGUGGGUACGGGCAGACUAGAGUGCGGUAGGGGAGACUGGAAUUCCUGGUGUAGCGGUGAAAUGCGCAGAUAUCAGGAGGAACACCGGUGGCGAAGGCGGGUCUCUGGGCCGUAACUGACGCUGAGGAGCGAAAGCGUGGGGAGCGAACAGG
This 253-nucleotide ribosomal RNA is filed under the name uncultured bacterium. RNAcentral's name for it is "partial 16S ribosomal RNA". It matches the Rfam family "Bacterial small subunit ribosomal RNA", at positions 524 to 776 of the family's 1533-position model. The record is from RNAcentral.